AGUCUUAUAUUCAAAAAAUGAUAUAAAAUUGCAAAUUUUAUGGUGUAAAAAUAUACUAAGGCUU
This 64-nucleotide transfer RNA is filed under the name Athyma lysanias. Its description in RNAcentral is "tRNA-Cys". The record is from RNAcentral. Lineage: Eukaryota; Metazoa; Arthropoda; Insecta; Lepidoptera; Nymphalidae.